AGAGUUUGAUCAUGGCUCAGAUUGAACGCUGGCGGUAGGUUUUAUCCAUGCAAGUCGAGCGGUAACAGACAUUUUGAUUCAGCUUGCUGAAUCUAGUGCUGACGAGCGGCGAACUGGUGAGUAACGCGUAGGAAUCUGCCCAGUAGCGGGGGAUAGCCCGAGGAAACUCGGAUUAAUACCGCAUACGCCCUAAGGGGGAAAGGGGGCAUCUUUGAUGCUCUUACUAUUGGAGGAGCCUGCGUAAGAUUAGCUUGUUGGUAGGGUAAAGGCCUACCAAGGCGACGAUCUUUAGCUGGUCUGAGAGGACGAUCAGCCACAUUGGGACUGAGACACGGCCCAGACGUCUACGGACGGCAGCAGGAGAGAAUAUUGGACAAUGAGGGAAACCUUGAUCCAGCCAUACCGCGUGUGUGAAGAAGGCCUUAGGGUUGUAAAGCACUUUAAGCGAUGAAGAAGAAAAGUAAGUUAAUACCUUAUUUUUUUGACGUUACUCGCAGAAUAAGUACCGGCUAACUCCGUGCCAGCAGCCGCGGUAAUACGGAGGGUACAAGCGUUAAUCGGAAUUACUGGGCGUAAAGCGCGCGUAGGCGGUUAAGUAAGUUGGAUGUGAAAGCCCUGGGCUCAACCUAGGAACUGCAUUCAAAACUAUUUAACUAGAGUACGAGAGAGGAGAGUAGAAUUUCUGGUGUAGCG
This 693-nucleotide ribosomal RNA is filed under the name uncultured bacterium. RNAcentral describes it as "bacterial SSU rRNA". It matches the Rfam family "Bacterial small subunit ribosomal RNA", at positions 8 to 680 of the family's 1533-position model. The record is from RNAcentral.